AUGGGAGGUCUUGGUAAGACAACUCUUGCUAAGAUGGUGUGUAAUGACCAAGAAGUCCAGAAACAUUUCCAGUUGAAGAUGUGGCACUGCGUGUCAGACAACUUUGAUACCGUUGCUCUUUUGAAAUCCAACAUUGAAUUGGUUGUAAAUAGUGAUCUGCCUGACACCAUUGAGUUGUUGCAAAAGCAACUUCAGGAAGUCAUUGGCCAAAAAAGGUUUAUUCUCAUUCUUGAUGAUGUAUGGUAUGAAGAUAAGAGAAUGUGGGAGGAUGUAUUGAAGCCACUAUUGUGUUCUGUUGGUGGACCAGGAAGUGUUAUAGUGGUCACAUGUCGAAGCAAGCAAGUAGCGUCUAUAAUGUGCACGGUUAAGCCCCAUGAGCUAGUAUUUCUGAGUGCAGAUAAUUCAUGGGACUUGUUUUCAAACAAAACAUUUAGCAAUGGUGUGGAGGAGCAAGCAGAGUUAGUCGCCAUUGGAAGGCAUAUUGUCAAUAAAUGUGGAGGGUUGCCUCUUGCUCUCAAGACAAUGGGUGGAUUGUUGAGUUCACAGAAACAUGUACAUGAAUGGAAGAGCAUUGAAGCAAGUAACAUUGGGGAUAAUGACAGAGGUAAAUAUGAGGUCAUGCUCAUAUUAAAGUUAAGCUGCAAACACCUGUCAUCUGAAAUGAAACAAUGUUUUGCAUUAUGUGCAAUUUUUCGCAAGGAUUAUGAGAUGCAGAAGGAUUUUCUGAUCGAACUAUGGAUGGCAAAUGGUUUUAUACAAGAAGAGGAAACAAUGGAUUUAAUACAGAAAGGAGAAUUCAUUUUUGAUGAGUUGGUUUGGAGAUCCUUCCUCCAAGAUAAGAAAGUGCUAGAAUAUCCAAGAAUGGUAGUAUGUAAAAUGCAUGACUUAAUGCAUGAUCUAGCAAAAUAUGUCAGCAAUGAAUGUGCAAGUAUAGAUGAACUAAAUCAGCGGAAGGCAUUGUUAAAAGAUGGUUGUCACAUGCAAAUGUCAAAGGUUGAUGAAUUAGAACAAAUUAGUGGGUUGUGCAAAGGAAGAACAUGCCUCCGCACUUUGUUAGCUCCUUCAGGAUCGUCACACAAGGAUUUUAAAGAGUUGCUACAAAUAUCAUCAUCACUAAGAGCAUUGCAUUGCCCCCCUUAUUCAAUUGCCAUUUGCAAGGCCAUAAAUGCAAAACAUUUACGGUAUCUUGACCUCUCGGUGUCUGACAUCGUUACAUUGCCAAAUUCAAUAUGUUUGUUGUAUAACUUGCAAACGUUGAGGCUCGUAGCUUGCAAGGAGCUGCGGAAGUUACCAGAAGACAUGACAGGAUUGAGAAAGCUCAUCAAUCUUUAUCUCUUUGAUUGUGAUAGUCUCAGAAGUAUGUCUCCAAACUUUGGUGUAAUGAACAACCUUCACAUAUUAACAACAUUUGUUGUGGAUACUGGAUAUGGCCUUGGAAUAGAGCAGCUCAAAGACUUGAAACACCUUAGCAAUAGGCUGGAGCUAUUGAAUUUGAGCAAGAUAAAGAGUGCAGAGAAUGCAAAAGAAGCCAACCUCAGUCAGAAGCAAAAUUUAACUGAGUUGUUGUUCUCUUGGGACCAAAAAUUUCAUGAUGAGCCUAAAGAUGUCGAAGAAGUGCUCCAAUGUUUAGAACCUCAUUAUAAUAUACAAAAUUUGGAGAUACUCGGAUAUGGUGGUCCACAAAUAUCACAAUUGAUGAGAAAUCCUGAGAUGUUUAACUGUUUGAAAGAACUCAAAAUGUCAAACUGCGCAAGAUGCAAGAGUAUACCUGUAGUAUGGCUCUCUGUCUCUCUAGAGAUUUUGUCCAUAGAGAAGAUGGAUAACUUGACCACAUUAUGUAAUAGCCUUGAUGUGGAAGGUGGAGGACACGUUACUCCUUUCCAAAUUUUCCAAAGGUUGAAGAGGAUGAGGUUGUUUGAGUUACCAAGCCUGGAGAUAUGGGCAGAAAAUAGUGUGGGAGAGCCUUGUGAUAGCUUGCUAAAGUUCCCGAUGCUUGAAGUGCUAAGGAUAGAAAAUUGUCCCAAGCUUGCAAGUAUUCCAAUGAUCCCCGUUGUCAGGGAUAUGAGUAUAGUUGGAGUUCACGGUACAGCAGUCAGUUUCAUUUUUAUGUGCAUCCGUUUGGGCUCUUGGCCAUUUCUCGUGGCUUUAACUCUGGAGUCUAAGGAAGACAUGGCCAUGUUGCUUCUAGACGCCCAACUAAUCCAAAGUGAAAGACCUCUUGAAAAACUAGAGUAUUUGGCUCUGCAAGGUCCUAACAGCUUGGACACAAGGUUUGUAUUGUCUAGAUCAUGCCUUAUGCCUUGGAAAUGCUUUAGAUUUGUGGAAAUGUUGGUGAUUCGCGGGUGCAACAAUCUUGUUCGUUGGCCAUCAGAUGAGCUCGGGUGCUUUGAUCGCCUCUGUGUUUUGCGUAUUGAAGAUUGUGACAACCAGGAGGAGGACACUUCAUCGUCUAAUGGGACACUUCCGCUGUCCCUGGAGGAAUUGGAAAUUUCGUUAUGCAAACAUCUGGUCAAGCUGCCUUCGAACCUUGGAAAUCUGGCCAACCUGAUAAGUCUCUAUGUGGGUUCGUGUAGUGCCCUGAAAGCGCUGCCUGAUGGGAUGUGUGGCCUCACUUCUCUUAGGGAAUUGAGGAUUUGUGAUUGUCCAGCUCUGGAUGAAUUCCCGCAUGGUCUCGUGGAGCGGUUGCCUGCCCUCGAAUUGUUAAAGAUACAUGGCUGCCCGGAGUUGGUAAGACUAUGCAGAGGAGGGAAAUAUUUCAACUUGGUCUCGUCUAUCCCACGUAAGAUAAUUUUUGAUUAG
RNAcentral lists this ribosomal RNA (2799 nucleotides) under Triticum aestivum (bread wheat). Its description in RNAcentral is "partial small subunit ribosomal RNA". Lineage: Eukaryota; Viridiplantae; Streptophyta; Magnoliopsida; Poales; Poaceae. The record is from RNAcentral.